GAUGAACGCUGGCGGCGUGCCUAAUACAUGCCAGUAGAACGCUGAAGGAGGAGCUUGCUCUUCUGGAUGAGUUGCGAACGGGUGAGUAACGCGUAGGUAACCUGCCUGGUAGCGGGGGAUAACUAUUGGAAACGAUAGCUAAUACCGCAUGACAACAGUUAUUGCAUGAUAACUGUUUAAAAGGGGCAACUGCUCCACUACCAGAUGGACCUGCGUUGUAUUAGCUAGUUGGUGAGGUAACGGCUCACCAAGGCGACGAUACAUAGCCGACCUGAGAGGGUGAUCGGCCACACUGGGACUGAGACACGGCCCAGACUCCUACGGGAGGCAGCAGUAGGGAAUCUUCGGCAAUGGACGGAAGUCUGACCGAGCAACGCCGCGUGAGUGAAGAAGGGUUUCGGAUCGUAAAGCUCUGUUGUAAGAGAAGAACGAGUGUGAGAGUGGAAAGUUCACACUGUGACGGUAUCUUACCAGAAAGGGACGGCUAACUACGUG
RNAcentral lists this ribosomal RNA (495 nucleotides) under uncultured bacterium. RNAcentral's name for it is "partial 16S ribosomal RNA". It matches the Rfam family "Bacterial small subunit ribosomal RNA", at positions 28 to 507 of the family's 1533-position model. The record is from RNAcentral.